UCGGAAAAGCCACGACACAUUUUUGCAUAGAAAAAAUAUGUCAUGACUUUUCCGAUGA
Molecule: microRNA precursor, 58 nt
Filed under: Tupaia belangeri chinensis (Chinese tree shrew)
Lineage: Eukaryota; Metazoa; Chordata; Mammalia; Scandentia; Tupaiidae
Description: Tupaia chinensis (Chinese tree shrew) microRNA tch-mir-9771m precursor
Source: miRBase by way of RNAcentral